Dama dama (fallow deer) is the source of this 509-nucleotide long non-coding RNA. RefSeq lists it as uncharacterized. The transcript is spliced from 3 exons. The record is from RefSeq and is a predicted model, not a curated record. Lineage: Eukaryota; Metazoa; Chordata; Mammalia; Artiodactyla; Cervidae.
CCAAGACAGGUCCUGGAAAAGUUGUUAGAUUUUGAAGAUAAAGAAUUGUUACAAAAAGUUAAAAAAAAGAAAAGAAAAAAAAUUGGCUGGAUCCAGACUUUUCACAGAAUCUUUUUUUAAAAUUAAAACAUUUUUAAUAAAUAUUUACUUUUUUAUCUUUUGGCCAUGCCAUAUGGCGUGUGGGAUCUUAGUUCCCUGACCAGGAUUGAAUCUCCGGCACUGGCAGCAUGAAGCCUUAACCCCUGGACCACCAGGGAAGUCUCUCUACAGUAUCUUUUAGAAGAUUAUAAAUCACUAGCAACCUGGAAGUUCCUCAAGGAAAGAAAGAGCUCCCGUAUGACUUGGUGCAGCACUAUCAGGAGUCCUUCCUGCGGAAAUUGCUAGAAAACACAUUUUAACUGACUACGACUAGGUUAAUACCAGCGACAGGACUGGAGGGAUAGCAACGGAAAGCCCUGGAGGUAGAAUGAAGUGAGCUGGAUCAAGCAGGCUCUGUAGUACCUGGGAGA